GCCGCGUGAGUGAUGAAGGCUUUCGGGUCGUAAAACUCUGUUGUUAGGGAAGAACAAGUACGAGAGUAACUGCUCGUACCUUGACGGUACCUAACCAGAAAGCCACGGCUAACUACGUGCCAGCAGCCGCGGUAAUACGUAGGUGGCAAGCGUUAUCCGGAAUUAUUGGGCGUAAAGCGCGCGCAGGCGGUUUCUUAAGUCUGAUGUGAAAGCCCACGGCUCAACCGUGGAGGGUCAUUGGAAACUGGGGAACUUGAGUGCAGAAGAGAAAAGCGGAAUUCCACGUGUAGCGGUGAAAUGCGUAGAGAUGUGGAGGAACACCAGUGGCGAAGGCGGCUUUUUGGUCUGUAACUGACGCUGAGGCGCGAAAGCGUGGGGAGCAAACAGGAUUAGAUACCCUGGUAGUCCACGCCGUAAACGAUGAGUGCUAAGUGUUAGAGGGUUUCCGCCCUUUAGUGCUGCAGCUAACGCAUUAAGCACUCCGCCUGGGGAGUACGGUCGCGGACUG
Molecule: ribosomal RNA, 508 nt
Filed under: Priestia aryabhattai
Lineage: Bacteria; Bacillati; Bacillota; Bacilli; Caryophanales; Bacillaceae
Description: bacterial SSU rRNA
Rfam family: Bacterial small subunit ribosomal RNA
Source: RNAcentral